GAAAAAUGGGUAUGUUUCACAGUGAUUUGUUAUUACUACACAUGCAUUAAUACAAAUGCGUUCUACUUUAUGGUUUCAUAACUAACGAACUUUCUAACACUGACUAUGUGCAAUACCAAUUUUUAUUGUUGUUUUGAAUAGGCAACACAAUGACUACUAGAUCUACGGACAGCCAGGAACCAGGACAAACAACAUCCAUACACACGGAAGAAGUCAAUGAGACGAAAUGUACGGAACAAAAAAGGGCAACACAAUGACUACUAGAUCUACGGACAGCCAGGAACCAGGACAAACAACAUCCGUACACACGGAAGAAGUUGAUGAGACGAAAAGGGUACUUCAAAUACCAGGAGAACAAAACAAGCAGCCAAAAAGCAAUGGAGUGAAAACGAAAAAGGAGCUGUUCACAGACGCUUUGAUCGUUUUUUGAUAAUGGGUAAAUUACCAGGGAAAAAAGAAAUACUUGCAUGUAUUGAAAGUGAGAAUGACCUUCACAACAGAAGUUGGAAAAAUGUCAAAGACUUUUGCAGAAAAUUAAUUGAAACAAAAAAGCG
This is a long non-coding RNA of Dreissena polymorpha, 554 nucleotides long. RefSeq lists it as uncharacterized. The record is from RefSeq and is a predicted model, not a curated record. NCBI's taxonomy places the organism in Eukaryota, Metazoa, Mollusca, Bivalvia, Myida, Dreissenidae. The transcript is spliced from 4 exons.